UCGUUACAUUAGCUUUUUUGCUACGUUUUGUAAAAGGGAAAAUCCACUGUAAUUUGACCUUUUGCUUUACAUUUUAUUAAAGAGAAAGAACUCCUGGAAUAAAUCCUUUUGCGUCAAGUUUUGUAAAAGGAAAAAAUCCUCUGGAAUGGAACCUUUCGUUACGUUUUGUAAAAGGGGAAAAUCCCUUGUAACCGUUCUGUUAGCUUUUAUGACAAAUUUUGUAACAAUGAAAAAUCCUGGAAUUGAGCCUUUUUGUUAGAUAAAUACUAACGCACAAUAUAGUAUAUUACUGUUCCCAUUUAUUAAAAGAAAAGUGAAUUUUAUAAGCUUCAAAGAAGUAUUUUCGUUUGUAUAAAGCCAGGCUUCAAAACCGACUUGUUUUUCCAGUGAAACGGCAACGUUUUUCUUAUAAUUUCCACAACAAAAGCGUGAUUUCCGUUGAAGUUGGGUGCAAAUAGUCUUUAUAUGGCUAUUUGCACCCGGGUGCAAAUAGUCACUUCG
Molecule: long non-coding RNA, 501 nt
Organism: Bradysia coprophila
Lineage: Eukaryota; Metazoa; Arthropoda; Insecta; Diptera; Sciaridae
Source: RefSeq, a predicted model, not a curated record